Molecule: ribosomal RNA, 1188 nt
Filed under: Haptophyta environmental samples
Lineage: Eukaryota; Haptophyta
Description: SSU rRNA
Rfam family: Eukaryotic small subunit ribosomal RNA
Source: RNAcentral
CAGGCGCGUAAAUUGCCCGAAUCCUGACACAGGGAGGUAGUGACAAGAAAUAACAAUACAGGGCCACUUUGGUCUUGUAAUUGGAAUGAGUACAAUUUACAUCUCUUCACGAGGAUCAAUUGGAGGGCAAGUCUGGUGCCAGCAGCCGCGGUAAUUCCAGCUCCAAUAGCGUAUAUUAAAGUUGUUGCAGUUAAAACGCUCGUAGUCGGAUUUCGGGGCGGCUUCGCCGGUCUGCCGUUGGGUAUGCACUGGCAGGGCCGUCCUUUCUCCCGGAGACUGCCCUUUAACUUAACUGAUCGGGGGCGGGAGACGGGACGUUUACUUUGAAAAAAUCAGAGUGUUUCAAGCAGGCAGCUCGCUCUUGCAUGGAUUAGCAUGGGAUAAUGAAAUAGGACUUUGGUGCUAUUUUAUUGGUUUCGAACACCAGGAGUAAUGAUUAACAGGGACAGUCAGGGGCACUCGUAUUCCGUCGAGAGAGGUGAAAUUCUCAGACCAAUGGAAGACGAACCACUGCGAAAGCAUUUGCCAGGGAUGUUUUCACUGAUCAAGAACGAAAGUUAGGGGAUCGAAGACGAUCAGAUACCGUCGUAGUCUUAACCAUAAACCAUGCCGACUAGGGAUUGGAGGGUGUUCGUUUCGACCUCUUCAGCACCUUACGGGAAACUAAAGUCUUUGGGUUCCGGGGGGAGUAUGGUCGCAAGGCUGAAACUUAAAGGAAUUGACGGAAGGGCACCACCAGGAGUGGAGCCUGCGGCUUAAUUUGACUCAACACGGGGAAACUUACCAGGUCCAGACGUUGUUAGGAUUGACAGAUUGAGAGCUCUUUCUUGAUUCGAUGGGUGGUGGUGCAUGGGCCGUUCUUAGUUGGUGGAGUGAUUUGUCUGGGUUAAUUCCGAUAACGAACGAGACCGUAGCCUGCUAAAUAGUCCCGCGAACUUCUUGUUGGCGGCCGACUUCUUAGAGGGACAACUUGUGACCAACAAGUGGAAGUUUGCGGCAAUAACAGGUCUGUGAUGCCCUUAGAUGUUCUGGGCCGCACGCGCGCUACACUGAUGCACUCAACGAGUCUCCACCUUGACCGAGAGGUCCGGGAAACCUUCGAACUUGCAUCGUGAUGGGGAUAGAUUAUUGCAACUAUUAAUCUUCAACGAGGAAUACCUAGUAGGCGCAUGUCAUCAGCGCACGUUG